RNAcentral lists this ribosomal RNA (502 nucleotides) under uncultured bacterium. RNAcentral's name for it is "partial 16S ribosomal RNA". It matches the Rfam family "Bacterial small subunit ribosomal RNA", at positions 28 to 507 of the family's 1533-position model. The record is from RNAcentral.
GAUUAACGCUGGCGGCGUGCCUAACACAUGCAAGUCGAGCGGCAGCGAGUUUUACACUGAAUUCUGGAAGCUUCUAGUUGAAAGAGAAGAUUUAUUCAAGAAUUUUGUGUAAAAUGUCGGCGAGCGGCGGACGGCUGAGUAACGCGUGGGAACGUACCCCAAAGUGAGGGAUAACGCAUCGAAAGGUGUGCUAAUACCGCAUAUGGUCUUCGGAUUAAAGCCUUCGGGCGCUUUGAGAACGGCCUGCGUAAGAUUAGAUAGUUGGUGGGGUAAUGGCCUACCAAGUCGACGAUCUUUAACUGGUUUGAGAGGAUGAUCAGUCAGACUGGAACUGAGACACGGUCCAGACUCCUACGGGAGGCAGCAGUGAGGAAUCUUCCACAAUGGGCGAAAGCCUGAUGGAGCAACGCCGCGUGCAGGAUGAAGGCCUUCGGGUUGUAAACUGCUUUUAUAAGUGAGGAUUAUGACAGUAACUUAUGAAUAAGGAUCGGCUAACUACGUG